UAUCAGACUUUGGUAUGGCAAGAAUUUUUUGUGAGAAUGAGGAUCGGGCUAAUACCAGAAGAGUUGUUGGAACAUAUGGUUAUAUGUCUCCAGAAUAUGCGAUGCAAGGACAAUUUUCAGGAUAAUUUUCUGAAAGAUCAGAUGUCUUUAGCUUUGGAGUUUUGCUAUUGGAGAUUGUUAAUGGAAGACGGAAUUCCAGCUUUUAUGAUGAAGAGAAUUCUCUUACUCUUUUAGGAUUUGCCUGGAUACAGUGGACAGAACACAAUAUUUCAUCUCUAAUAGAUGAAGGAAUAUAUGAUCCUAGUCUUCAUAAAUAUAUUUUUAGGUGCAUACACAUAGGACUUCUAUGUGUACAAGAAUUUGCUGCAGAUAGGCCCUCUAUGGCUGCUGUAAUUUCAAUGCUUAACAGUGAGAUUGUGGAUCUUCCUCCACCAACGAAACCUGCAUUCACUCUGAGACAAAAUAUGUUAAGUUCAAUGUCCUUUGUAAGAAGCAAUGACCUGAACUCCCAUAACUCUGUCAGUAUUUCGGACAUCCAAGGAAAAUAGCAAACCAAGUGCUCAAGAAAUGGAGAUUAUGUUAAUACUACAAAAGGUUGCUGAAAAUUAGAACAUUGUAGGUGUUGCCUUUGUUUUCUUUUUUUGGUCCAAAGGUAUACGUUGGAAGGGCUAUUUAGAGAGAACUUUGAAGUCUUUUAAGUUCCACUGAUCGGAAAAAGUUAGUGGAAAAAGUUCAGUAUUAUGAUGAAUGCAUAUAAGGUUUUGUUGGGAUCGAAUGAAGAAUAUUGAAUGGAAAGGAUUUAAGAUCCAUUGUUUGGAUAAAAAAAAAUAUAGAAAGGAAUGGAAUGGAAGGAGUUGGAACUUGUACAAUCUGAUUCCAUCAUUUCUUAUGUAUUGUAUAAUCCCUUAUUCAGUUUCUAUA
Molecule: RNA transcript, 921 nt
Organism: Cajanus cajan (pigeon pea)
Lineage: Eukaryota; Viridiplantae; Streptophyta; Magnoliopsida; Fabales; Fabaceae
Gene name: G-type lectin S-receptor-like serine/threonine-protein kinase At1g11330
Source: RefSeq, a predicted model, not a curated record